GAUGAAGAACGCGGCGAAAUGCGAUAAGUAAUGUGAAUUGCAGAAUUCCGUGAAUCAUCGAAUCUUUGAACGCACAUUGCGCCCCCUGGCAUUCCGGGGGGCAUGCCUGUCCGAGCGUCAUUUCUGCCCUCAAGCACGGCUUGUGUGUUGGGUGUGGUCCCCCCGGGGACCUGCCCGAAAGGCAGCGGCGACGUCCGUCUGGUCCUCGAGCGUAUGGGGCUCUGUCACUCGCUCGGGAAGGACCUGCGGGGGUUGGUCACCACCAUGUUUUACCACGGUUGACCUCGGAUCAGGUAGGAGUUACCCGCUGAACUUAAGCAUAUCAAUAAGCGGAGGA
This 337-nucleotide unclassified non-coding RNA is filed under the name soil metagenome. RNAcentral describes it as "partial contains 5.8S ribosomal RNA, internal transcribed spacer 2, and large subunit ribosomal RNA". The stretch from base 1 to 120 matches the Rfam family "5.8S ribosomal RNA", at positions 35 to 154 of the family's 154-position model. The record is from RNAcentral.